This 1402-nucleotide long non-coding RNA is filed under the name Triticum aestivum (bread wheat). Its description in RNAcentral is "long non-coding RNA (TAES_LNC022792)". The record is from RNAcentral. Lineage: Eukaryota; Viridiplantae; Streptophyta; Magnoliopsida; Poales; Poaceae.
CCAGCAGCAGCCUGAGGUUGGUGGUGAUAUGGAAAACUAAUUUGAUGCUUAACCUGACUUUCCUUCCACUGUUAACACUCCAGUCUGAGAUUUUUGCUGUGAGGUUUCAUAUGGUUUUGAGACAACCGAGUCCCAUUUUCUGCUGGAUUGUUUUGUCUCUGUUUCUAUGUUCAACUAUCCACUCUGAAUUUCAUUGCAAGGGAGAAAUAUCCUGUCUCUCCUUGUGGAUAUUAACAUAUUUUUAUCUUUGACAAAGAUACUAACAUAACUUUUUUUCCUUGUGGCUGAAACUAUGUAAGCUGAUUUGAUACGCAGUUGGUAGCUCGGUACAAGUGGACGCUGACAAGAUAAAGAGCUUACUUUUUUGGGUGGCUCAUGAUGUUAAUAUCUCGCGCGCCCCUGUCAUAAUCUUCAGAGUUUUUAGCGGCUCACAAUGGGUUCAGAUAUUAUUCCGAAGUCUAUUUAUCGUCAUCUUUUCACCCGUCUAGUCUUAAUAAGGUACAUACAUCAUUGGCGCUUCACCGUAAAGCAUUUGUUGAAAUUUCCUCCCAGAUACUUUCAGCAGAUUUAACACUGAGAUUAAGACAUGUCGAUCGUAAAGUAGAAAAUGACAUACUUGAAAAUAGACUACAUGUUUUCUGAUGUUGGAUUCUAUAUAUGCUUGCAAACAUUCCCCUGUAUGAGUAUACCAAAGAAUCUCCUAUUUUAGACCUAUUAGUGAAGAGUCUUCAUUCUCACGUGCUGCAGAUAUAAUCUACUUAUGCGCACAAAUGAUUGGGAGUAUUUUUGAAUUUGGGUUUGCUCUUCAGUGAAAAUAAACAAAUACUCUAAUGAAUUCUUUGUUAUGUCACUGUCAUAUUAAUAGACUCGGUUUUUGUUUUUAUUAGUGCAAGUAUAUCUUUGGUACAUUCUUGAGUGUUAUAUAAAGCUAGGCUAGUUAUUUUCUGUAGGGAAUAUAAAGGUACUUGAUCGCUUCGCACACCACAGACUAUCAACAUCCUAUGCUCUUUUUGAACACCAUUGCAGUCACAAGGCCCGGAUUUUUGGAAUCAAUGCCGGCAACUAAGCGGCAGCGUCCCAGGGUAGACAACACUCAAUAUCAUGUUUCAUUUGAAUGGCUGGAUGGUGUUGCACUUAGUUCUGAAUUCGCUCGUCAGAGUACCAGUGUGUAGUGUUUGAGAGCUGUUAGUAGAUGACAUGUGAUCAUUGUACAGAGAAACGCUAAAAGGCCUGGAAAAUGAUGCUGUUUUGCAACUUUGCCCGACACACGUUCUGUAGACUCUUUAUGCUGCUAUAUGUUCUGUUGCAAGUAUUUGUCACUUGAUACAUGUACAGUUUCUCCAUGCCUGAAGUUUCCCUUUCUUAAUCCCGGCAAUUUGAGGUAAGAUCAGAAGGAACUGCG